CGGAUGGUGAGCCUGGAGCGAGGGGCUCCCAGGGCAAUUUUGGGACAAAGGGGGAUGACGGCAUCCGAGGAUUCAAUGGGGCACCAGGACCGAUGGGCUUGCAGGUAACAAACGGCCAUGGCGAGGGUCACCCUACUGCCCACUGUUGAGCCAGACGCUGCUCACAUGCUCUUUCUCGACAGGGGCUGUCCGGACCAUCUGGGGAGAAGGGGGAGACCGGCGAUGGGGGACCCCUGGGACCUCCGGGACCCCCAGGACCACGAGGCCCAGCUGGGCCCUCCGGAGCUAGUGGUCCGCAAGGCCCCCCAGGAGGGAUCGGAAAUGAGGGGCCACCGGGACAAAAGGGCGAAUCAGGAGAGCAGGGUGGACCUGGCGUCCCUGGAGAGUCCGGCCCGAAGGGCCCGCGGGGUGAGCAAGGAGAGAAAGGGGAAGCCGGAAGCGCUGGUGUGGCCGGACCCCCUG
RNAcentral lists this long non-coding RNA (462 nucleotides) under Naja naja (Indian cobra). RNAcentral's name for it is "lncRNA (ENSNNAG00000010480.1)". The record is from RNAcentral. Lineage: Eukaryota; Metazoa; Chordata; Lepidosauria; Squamata; Elapidae.